CGGAGGGAAAGAAACCAACAGGGAUUGCCUUAGUAGCGGCGAGUGAAGCGGCCAAAGCUCAAAUUUGAAAUCUGGCUCUUUCAGAGUCCGAGUUGUAAUUUGAAGAAGGUAUCUUUGGGUCUGGCUCUUGUCUAUGUUUCUUGGAACAGAACGUCACAGAGGGUGAGAAUCCCGUGCGAUGAGAUGAUCCAGGCCUAUGUAAAGUUCCUUCGAAGAGUCGAGUUGUUUGGGAAUGCAGCUCUAAGUGGGUGGUAAAUUCCAUCUAAAGCUAAAUAUUGGCGAGAGACCGAUAGCGAACAAGUACAGUGAUGGAAAGAUGAAAAGAACUUUGAAAAGAGAGUGAAAAAGUACGUGAAAUUGUUGAAAGGGAAGGGCUUGAGAUCAGACUUGGUAUUUUGUAUGUUACUUCUUCGGGGGUGGCCUCUACAGUUUAUCGGGCCAGCAUCAGUUUGGGCGGUAGGAGAAUUGCGUUGGAAUGUGGCACGGCUUCGGUUGUGUGUUAUAGCCUUCGUCGAUACUGCCAGCCUAGACUGAGGACUGCGGUUUAUACCUAGGAUGUUGGCAUAAUGAUCUUAAGUCGCCCGUCUUGAAACACGGACC
This 600-nucleotide ribosomal RNA is filed under the name Candida tropicalis. RNAcentral describes it as "partial large subunit ribosomal RNA". It matches the Rfam family "Eukaryotic large subunit ribosomal RNA", at positions 51 to 667 of the family's 3401-position model. Lineage: Eukaryota; Fungi; Ascomycota; Pichiomycetes; Serinales; Debaryomycetaceae. The record is from RNAcentral.